This 381-nucleotide long non-coding RNA is filed under the name Heterocephalus glaber (naked mole-rat). Its description in RNAcentral is "lncRNA (ENSHGLG00000046669.1)". Lineage: Eukaryota; Metazoa; Chordata; Mammalia; Rodentia; Bathyergidae. The record is from RNAcentral.
CUGUGCCCCCGUUGGAGCCGUUGACCUCUAAGCCUGAGCUCUUCGCACUGGGCAUCCCCAGCUGUCACCCUGCUUGAUCCAAUGGGCAACAGAAAUGCUGAGGUUCACACAGAAAAUAAGCCAAGGGAGCACUGACAAUUACAGGUGGAAAAAGCCAUUUUUGCAAGGAGCCACAAGAGGACCUUCUGUGAACAGCACAAAUGAACAAAUCUGGCUUUGUAUGACAGCAAGUUGACAAAACAGCAGCAAAGCUGAGUUCAUGUUCUGGCUCUGUCUUGGACCAGAGAAGGUGCUGUGACCACCUGUCAUGCCGGGCACUGGCAGCAGCCUUGGUUCCUGUUCACCCCAUGGUUGGGAGGGGAAGCAACCCGUAGCUUACCU